Molecule: long non-coding RNA, 771 nt
Organism: Leptinotarsa decemlineata (Colorado potato beetle)
Lineage: Eukaryota; Metazoa; Arthropoda; Insecta; Coleoptera; Chrysomelidae
Source: RefSeq, a predicted model, not a curated record
UGAAAUUCAGACCGUUUCGUAUUCUUUCAGAUAUUUGUGUUCUUAGUCGAAACUUCGUCGAAAGAUAUUUGGUUAUUUUAUUUAUAAGACAAUAUUCUCCUAUCUGAGAACUAGAACCAUGAUGACGUCUAAGAAAUGUUUUCUAUGUAAAAAAAAUGUAAAUUAUUUCACAAUUGUGGAAGAAUGGAAACGAGUUUGGGAUGAAGAUGGAGUGAGACUAGAGCAGAAACAUUUUUAUUCAAAUAAAGUCCAAUGUCCCCCAUCUUGCCUGGAUCUGCACCACCGCCUUCAGGCUUUUCCUGUAAUACAGAUGCCUUCCUGUAGAUGUAACCAACCUUGUUCUCCAGGAUGUACAUAUCCUUCAAGUGGUAAACCAGUACUGCCCAUGUUAGAGGACGUGGAUUGGGGGACUAUUUUCAGACUACCGACUCAUUCACACCACCGAAUCAUCCAUCCAAAAACCAUUUGGAGAAAUGUAGAAUUGUUUGGAUUGAUAAAAAGAAAAAGAUGGUAACUAUUUUCUAAAUGACACUACCAAUAUAUAGUUAGUUAGGUCUUUUGUACUUGUCUCUUUUGUAUGUAUUCCUAUUAUUUUAUUUAUAUUCAUUUACAGUGCAGUUAUAUGUUGUCAUAUAUUAAAUAUAUGCCUUUCAGUACAUCUACUAUGUUAAUGAUCUUUUCAUUGUCAAACUAUGAAAAAUAAACCAAUGAUAUAUCAAUACGUAUCAAUCGAACUGAAGUUUUACAAAAAUUAAAUGUUUUAUGAGUUGA